RNAcentral lists this unclassified non-coding RNA (263 nucleotides) under plant metagenome. Its description in RNAcentral is "partial contains small subunit ribosomal RNA, internal transcribed spacer 1, and 5.8S ribosomal RNA". The record is from RNAcentral.
UUUCCGUAGGUGAACCUGCGGAAGGAUCAUUAUUGUAUAACCGAGGUGCGAGGGCUGUCGCUGACCCGAAAGAUCGUGCACGCCCGAGUGCCCUCACACACAUCCAUCUCACCCCUAUGUGCACCACCGCGUGGGUCCCCCUUUGGCUUGUUCGGAGGGGGGCUUACGUUUUCACACAAACUUUGUAUGUAGUGUAGAAUGUAUUUUUUGUUUUUGCGAUCACGCAAUCAAUACAACUUUCAACAACGGAUCUCUUGGCUCUC